Molecule: ribosomal RNA, 460 nt
Filed under: uncultured bacterium
Lineage: Bacteria
Description: partial 16S ribosomal RNA
Rfam family: Bacterial small subunit ribosomal RNA
Source: RNAcentral
CCUACGGGUGGCAGCAGUGAGGAAUAUUGGUCAAUGGGCGCGAGCCUGAACCAGCCAAGUAGCGUGAAGGAUGACUGCCCUACGGGUUGUAAACUUCUUUUAUAAAGGAAUAAAGUGAGGCACGUGUGCCUUUUUGUAUGUACUUUAUGAAUAAGGAUCGGCUAACUCCGUGCCAGCAGCCGCGGUAAUACGGAGGAUCCGAGCGUUAUCCGGAUUUAUUGGGUUUAAAGGGAGCGUAGAUGGGUUGUUAAGUCAGUUGUGAAAGUUUGCGGCUCAACCGUAAAAUUGCAAUUGAUACUGGCAGCCUUGAGUACAGUUGAGGUAGGCGGAAUUCGUGGUGUAGCGGUGAAAUGCGUAGAUAUAUGGAAGAACACCAAUGGCGAAAGCAGCUCUCUGAUCUGUAACUGACGCUGAGGUUCGAAAGCGUGGGUAGCAAACAGGAUUAGAUACCCUUGUAGUC